RNAcentral lists this ribosomal RNA (422 nucleotides) under uncultured bacterium. RNAcentral describes it as "bacterial SSU rRNA". It matches the Rfam family "Bacterial small subunit ribosomal RNA", at positions 355 to 774 of the family's 1533-position model. The record is from RNAcentral.
UGAGGAAUAUUGGUCAAUGGGGGCAACCCUGAACCAGCCAAGUCGCGUGAAGGAUGAAGGUCUUAUGGAUUGUAAACUUCUUUUAUACAGGAAUAAAUUGGGGGACGUGUCCCCUUUUGCAUGUACUGUAUGAAUAAGGAUCGGCUAACUUCGUGCCAGCAGCCGCGGUAAUACGGAGGAUCCGAGCGUUAUCCGGAUUUAUUGGGUUUAAAGGGUGCGCAGGCGGGAUGUUAAGUCGGCGGUGAAACUUUGCAGCUCAACUGUAAAAGUGCCUUCGAUACUGGCCUCCUUGAGGGUGGAUGAAGUAGGCGGAAUUUGUGGUGUAGCGGUGAAAUGCUUAGAUAUCACGAGGAACUCCGAUUGCGCAGGCAGCUUACUAAGCCACAACUGACGCUCAUGCGCGAAGGCGUGGGGAUCAAACA